RNAcentral lists this long non-coding RNA (729 nucleotides) under Mytilus galloprovincialis (Mediterranean mussel). The record is from RNAcentral. Lineage: Eukaryota; Metazoa; Mollusca; Bivalvia; Mytilida; Mytilidae.
AUUUUUGUCGAGCCUGCAACUUUUGUUGCAGAAAGCUCGACAUAGGGAUAGUGAUCCGGCGGCGGCGGCGGCGGCGGCGGUGUUAGCUAACUUCUUAAAAGCUUUAUAUUUUAGAAGGUGGAAGACCUGGAUGCUUCAUACUUUGUAUAUAGAUGCCUCAUGUUACGAAGUUUCCGUCAGUCACAUGUCCAAUGUCCUUGACCUCAUUUUCAUGGUUCAGUGACCACUUGAAAAAAAAGUUCAAAUUUUUUGUAAUGUUGAAUUCUCUCUUAUUAUAAGUAAUAGGAUAACUAUAUUUGAUAUGUGCGUACCUUGCAAGGUCCUCAUGUCUGUCAGACAGUUUUCACUUGACCUCGACCUCAUUUCAUGGAUCAGUGAACAAGGUUAAGUUUUGGUAGUCAAGUCCAUAUCUCAGAUACUAUAAGCAAUAGGGCUAGUAUAUUCGGUGUAUGGAAGGACUGUAAGGUGUACAUGUCCAACUGGCAGGUGUCAUCUGACCUUGACCUCAUUUUCAUGGUUCAGUGGUUAUAGUUAAAUUUUUGUGUUUUGGUCUGUUUUUUUCGUACUAUAUGCAAUAGGUCUACUAUAUUUGUUAUAUGGAAUGAUUGUAAGGUGUACAUGUCUAGCGGGCAGAUGUCAUGGAACCUUGACCUCAUUUUCAUGGUUCAGUGGUUAUAGUUAAAUUUUUGUGUUUUGGUCUGUUUUUUUUCAUACUAUAUGCAAUAGGUC